This is a long non-coding RNA of Calidris pugnax (ruff), 532 nucleotides long. RefSeq lists it as uncharacterized. The transcript is spliced from 3 exons. NCBI's taxonomy places the organism in Eukaryota, Metazoa, Chordata, Aves, Charadriiformes, Scolopacidae. The record is from RefSeq and is a predicted model, not a curated record.
AUUGUGUUUAGUAUCUGAGAUCUCUCCUCGUGCGUAGCUGAAUGGUGACUGCUGUCUUUAUAUCUCUAUUGGUAGAGCUUAUUGUCCUGAGUAUAUUACUGGUAUGUUAAAAGGUGUGAAAAAAUGUAAAUUCUUUAUUUUCCAGUUAAAUACUUAAAACGCAUCCCCUCUCUCUAGUUUAUUUUGUUUGCCAAGAAUCUGCACGUUGAGCUGAGUCCCGAAGCAGAAAACCUCAUUCAGGGCUACUACGUCGCCAGUCGCAGAGUGAGAAGAGACUCCCUCCAUGGAUCCACCUUAUCCUCAUCCGCACUGAAAAUCCUGAUUUCGCUGUCUAAGGCUCACACUAAACUAAGUUUAAGAAAGAAAGUUCUUGAGGAAGAUGCGCUGAUUGCCAUCUUGUUACUUGAAUCAUCUCUCAUCCUAAAACACGGCCAGUCUGCACUAUGCAUAGCACCCAAUUCUGUAUUUCCAUUUGACCUGAGUGAUGAAAACUCCCUGCAGCAGAGAGACAGUUACCUCCUGCAGUGCCACC